RNAcentral lists this ribosomal RNA (253 nucleotides) under uncultured bacterium. RNAcentral describes it as "partial 16S ribosomal RNA". It matches the Rfam family "Bacterial small subunit ribosomal RNA", at positions 524 to 776 of the family's 1533-position model. The record is from RNAcentral.
UACGAAGGGGGCUAGCGUUGCUCGGAAUUACUGGGCGUAAAGCGUGCGCAGGCGGUUUUGUAAGUCUGACGUGAAAUCCCCGGGCUCAACCUGGGAAUUGCGUUGGAGACUGCAAGGCUAGAAUCUGGCAGAGGGGGGUAGAAUUCCACGUGUAGCAGUGAAAUGCGUAGAGAUGUGGAGGAACAACGAUGGCGAAGGCAGCCCCCUGGGUCAAGAUUGACGCUCAUGCACGAAAGCGUGGGGAGCAAACAGG